UGGGCUUGUCUCUCUGAAAAUUGGAGU
RNAcentral lists this non-coding RNA (27 nucleotides) under Homo sapiens (human). The record is from RNAcentral. Lineage: Eukaryota; Metazoa; Chordata; Mammalia; Primates; Hominidae.